Molecule: transfer RNA, 71 nt
Filed under: Camelus bactrianus (Bactrian camel)
Lineage: Eukaryota; Metazoa; Chordata; Mammalia; Artiodactyla; Camelidae
Also listed under: 2 other names
Rfam family: tRNA
About the family: Transfer RNA (tRNA) molecules are approximately 80 nucleotides in length. Their secondary structure includes four short double-helical elements and three loops (D, anti-codon, and T loops).
Source: Rfam by way of RNAcentral
GAGGGUAUAUCUCAAGUGGGAGUGCACGCUUAGCAUGCCUGAGGUCCUGGGUUCAAUCCCCAGUAUCUCCU